Molecule: ribosomal RNA, 402 nt
Filed under: uncultured bacterium
Lineage: Bacteria
Description: partial 16S ribosomal RNA
Rfam family: Bacterial small subunit ribosomal RNA
Source: RNAcentral
UCGGGAAUUUUGGGCAAUGGGCGNNNNNNNGNCCCAGNNACGCCGCGUGAGGGAUGAAGUAUUUCGGUAUGUAAACCUCGAAAGNNNGGGAANAAUAAAUGACNNUACCAUUUAUAAGCUCCGGCUAACUACGUGCCAGCAGCCGCGGUAAUACGUAGGGAGCAAGCGUUGUUCGGAUUUACUGGGCGUAAAGGGCGCGUAGGCGGCGCGGUAAGUCACUUGUGAAAUCUCUGAGCUUAACUCAGAACGGCCAAGUGAUACUGCUGUGCUAGAGUGCGGAAGAGGCAACCGGAAUUCUUGGUGUAGCGGUGAAAUGCGUAGAUAUCAAGAGGAACACCUGAGGCGAAGGCGGGUUGCUGGGCCGACACUGACGCUGAUGCGCGAAAGCCAGGGGAGCAAACG